RNAcentral lists this small RNA (140 nucleotides) under Pantoea sp. SJZ147. Lineage: Bacteria; Pseudomonadati; Pseudomonadota; Gammaproteobacteria; Enterobacterales; Erwiniaceae. The record is from RNAcentral.
AAAUAAAAAAAGACCGAACACGAUUCCUGUAUUCGGUCCAGGGAAAUGGCUCUCAAGGAGCCGUGCGCUAAAAGUUGGCAUUGAUAGAGGCUCUCGCCUUGCUAAUAAAGCGUAGGACAACCCUGUAGAUUUUCCAGCCA